This is a long non-coding RNA of Pan troglodytes (chimpanzee), 656 nucleotides long. RefSeq lists it as uncharacterized. The transcript has 5 exons. The record is from RefSeq and is a predicted model, not a curated record. NCBI's taxonomy places the organism in Eukaryota, Metazoa, Chordata, Mammalia, Primates, Hominidae.
AAGUGCCCAAAGACAGGAGGCUGCCUGCCAGCGACUCCACGGGCUCAGGCUGUUUGUAGUUCAUGUGCAUAAUUUUUAAAGAUAGACAUAAGACAUACCCCUGAAGAUGAGUACAAGAGAGAAAGACAGGGCUCUGAAAAUACUGCCACAGGCUCAAGUUCCAAAGUGCUGGAGUUACAAAAGGAUAAAGGACAACGCAAAGGACUUUUUAGCCAAAGAAGAACCAGAAAGGUUCUCUCCAACAGGAAGAGUCCUAGGGAAUUGGAGAUGUCGCGAAGGAAUGUUGUAAGGAGAAUUCAAGCCUAAAACGGUUCUGAGCACUGAUUUCAUCAAGCCGAUGGAGGCAACAACAUAUUCCUUAGGGAAAAUUAAGAUGCACAGUAUGCUUCAAGAUGAUGGCCAAGAACAACCAACUCAACAAGCCUUCAGCAAUUCAUGAUUUGAAUAUCAUGUUCAAGCUACAGACAUCAGCAAACUCGAGAAAAGAAGGUUUGCUCUGGGAGAUUCUACAUGUGACCUGUUUAUAUGUAAUUAUAUUAUCUAUUACUCAAGUAUUUGUCUUGUGCUGUCUAAAUUAUAAGCUUCUCAACUGUUUGCCUUGAGUGAGAUGUGCACGCUAAAGCCUCUCAAUAAAUAUUAAUUGAAUGAAUAACUGA